UCAGGAUGAACGCUAGCUACAGGCUUAACACAUGCAAGUCGAGGGGCAGCAUUGGGAUAGCUUGCUAUUCAGAUGGCGACCGGCGCACGGGUGAGUAACGCGUAUCCAACCUCCUGCCAGUAGGGAACAGCCCGGCGAAAGUCGGAUUAAUGCCCUAUGUUCUUCAAUGCGGACAUCUAAGUUGAAGGAAAGAUUCAUCGCUGGCAGAUGGGGAUGCGUCCGAUUAGCUUGCCGGCGGGGUAACGGCCCACCGGGGCGACGAUCGGUAGGGGUUCUGAGAGGAAGGUCCCCCACACUGGUACUGAGACACGGACCAGACUCCUACGGGAGGCAGCAGUGAGGAAUAUUGGUCAAUGGGCGUAAGCCUGAACCAGCCAAGUAGCGUGCAAGGAUGACGGCCCUACGGGUUGUAAACUGCUUUUAUGCGGGGAUAAAGUGCGGCACGUGUGCCGCUUUGCAGGUACCGCAUGAAUAAGGACCGGCUAAUUCCGUGCCAGCCGCCGC
This 504-nucleotide ribosomal RNA is filed under the name uncultured bacterium. RNAcentral describes it as "bacterial SSU rRNA". It matches the Rfam family "Bacterial small subunit ribosomal RNA", at positions 24 to 518 of the family's 1533-position model. The record is from RNAcentral.